This 254-nucleotide ribosomal RNA is filed under the name uncultured bacterium. RNAcentral's name for it is "partial 16S ribosomal RNA". It matches the Rfam family "Bacterial small subunit ribosomal RNA", at positions 524 to 776 of the family's 1533-position model. The record is from RNAcentral.
UACAGAGGUCCCAGCAGUUGUUCGGUAUUCAUUGGGCGUAAAGGGUGCGUAGGCGGCUGGGUAAGUUUGAUGUGAAAUCCUGGGGCUCAACCCUGGAACUGCAUUGAAUACUGCUCGGCUAGAGUACUGGAGAGGAAACUGGAAUUUACGGUGUAGCAGUGAAAUGCGUAGAUAUCGUAAGGAAGACCAGUGGCGAAGGCGAGUUUCUGGACAGUUACUGACGCUGAGGCACGAAGGCCAGGGGAGCAAACGGG